CCUACGGGAGGCUGCAGUGAGGAAUAUUGGUCAAUGGACGAGAGUCUGAACCAGCCAAGUAGCAUGAAGGAUGACUGCCCUAUGGGUUGUAAACUUCUUUUAUAAAGGAAUAAAACGAGGCACGUGUGCCUUUUUGCAUGUACUUUAUGAUUAAGGAUCGGCUAACGCCGUGCCAGCAGCCGCGGUAAUACGGAGGAUCCGAGCGUUAUCCGGAUUUAUUGGGUUUAAAGGGAGCGUAGAUGGGUUGUUAAGUCAGUUGUGAAAGUUUGCGGCUCAACCGUAAAAUUGCAAUUGAUACUGGCAGUCUUGAGUACAGUUGAGGGAGGCGAAAUUCGUGGUGUAGCGGUGAAAGGCUUAGAUAUAACGAAGAACCCCGAUUGCGAAGGCAGCUUACUAAACUGUGACUGACAUUGAUGCUCGAAAGUGUGGGUAUCAAACAGGAUUAGAUACCCGAGUAGUC
Molecule: ribosomal RNA, 460 nt
Filed under: uncultured bacterium
Lineage: Bacteria
Description: partial 16S ribosomal RNA
Rfam family: Bacterial small subunit ribosomal RNA
Source: RNAcentral